CUAUUGCACCAGAAGUAGCUAGCUUAACCUUCGGGAGGGCGCCGACCACGGUGUGGUCAAUGACUGGGGUGAAGUCGUAACAAGGUAGCAGUAGGUGAACCUGCAGAAGGAUCA
RNAcentral lists this ribosomal RNA (114 nucleotides) under uncultured eukaryote. RNAcentral describes it as "partial small subunit ribosomal RNA". It matches the Rfam family "Bacterial small subunit ribosomal RNA", at positions 1412 to 1525 of the family's 1533-position model. The record is from RNAcentral.